CUGGGGCGGGAGUCUGCGCGCUCGAGCCCCGUGAGCCCAGCGCCGGGGUGCCGCGCGCCGCCAGUGCACCUCAGCCGCCGAGCGCCGUUCUUCGGAGGCUGUCAUGUCUCCCGGCCGACCCUGGCAGCCCGGCGCGGCCGAGGCUCCGGCGUCCACGGCAGGCACCCGCGAGGGGCCAUGAUCCGGCUGGGCGGCUGGUGCGCGCGGCGCCCCCGUGGCGCGGCGGGCCCGGCGGAGAGGCGCGGAGUGUCGGGGGGGCCGGGCAGCCGCGCCCUGCGGGUGCUGGUGGACAUGGACGGCGUGCUGGCCGACUUCGAGGGCGGUUUCCUCAAGAAGUUCCGCGCGCGCUUCCCCGACCUGCCCUUCGUCGCGCUGGAGGACCGGCGCGGCUUCUGGGUGUCGGAGCAGUACGGUCGCUUGCGGCCCGGGCUGAGCGAGAAGGCCAUUAGCAUCUGGGAGUCCAAGAAUUUCUUCUUUGAACUUGAGCCUUUGCCAGGGGCUGUGGAAGCUGUGAAGCAGAUGGCCAACCUACAGAACACUGACGUGUUCAUCUGCACAAGUCCCAUCAAGAUGUUCAAGUACUGUCCCUAUGAGAAGUAUGCCUGGGUGGAGAAGCACUUUGGUCCUGACUUUUUGGAGCAGAUCGUGCUGACCAGAGACAAGACCAUAAUCUCUGCUGACCUCCUCAUAGACGACCGGCUGGACAUUAUAGGGGCUGAGCCACACCCCAGCUGGGAGCACGUCCUCUUCACAUCUUGUCACAACCAGCACGUGUGGCUGCCUCCUUCCCGCCACCGGCUGCACUCAUGGGCGGAUGACUGGAAGGCCAUUCUGGACAGCAAGCGGGCCAUUGUUGACUGCUGCACUGAGACUCUCCUUGACUGACUCCAGGGCUCCUGCUCAGGCCCUGUGGACCUGUGGUUCCCUCCAGAUGCAAUGGCCAAGACCACCUCCUGCUGCAUGCCUCUACUCCAGCCCUGCCAGGCCUUAACCUGCUCUUGGGGUAGGGCUGGGCCCCUGGACACCUGGACAGAGACAUAUGUACCCAGGAGGUUUGGACUGACCUCAGAUAGUGGCCCCAAGCUGUCAGGGGCCCUGAGGCUCAUUCCAGGGAGUUGUUGAGGCCAGCAGCCCUGCCUACUCACUAGGGGGAGAUCCCUGAGCUGUCGGCACCCUGGUCUCCAGGUCUGCAGCUGUCAGCAAGAAGCACCAGGAAUGUGACAGCUGAGGUGCUCUCUGGUGGGCCUGAGGCCCUUGCUCUCCUGACCGCAGUACCCAUCCUACUUGCCCAGCCUGUCUGGGCUCCCCAAAUGACCUGUCAUGUAAUCAGCAAACACUGCAGCUUCCAGUCACCAGGCCAUGAGCUGGGGGACAACACUGGCCCUGCCUGUGACCAGCUCCAAGUUACCUCUGCUCCAUCCCUGGGCCCCAGCACAGGGCCCAACAGAGCCAACAGGAUUUUAUUACAUCACUUGCCCUUAAGACUAUGCGUUCCAUUCUGUGGGGAUACCAGCAGCAGAUCACUGGAAGCUUGAGGCCAGACUGUACUACAUGGUGAGACCCUGUCUCAAAGAAACCCCACUGGCAAGCAAAGCUCAUGUACCUGGAUAUCCUGGGGAUACUUUUUGUUGGGGGAACAAGUGAUGUGUCCAGGGUGCUAUCUGCCUCCUGAUCCUUUGGAAAGUGCUGUCUUACCCUUCAUCCCUCUCCUCUCUGCUUCUGGCCCUUGGCCACAGAUCGCCCCAGCAGAAGGGACUGACCUUUCCAAUCCAGACACAAUGCUGAGCCAGCAGUUGAAGCAUCAAAGAAAGGACCCAGAAGUGGGGAGUGCUUGUAUCAGUGACAACCCAGGAGGAGCAUCUGUAACAAGUGCUCUGGUCCACACCUUCCACUGAGGAACUGGAGGCUUGUACCAGGGAUUGAACUCGGGUCGUUGCGCUUGUGCAGCAGGCAGCAAAACCACUGAGCUAAAUCCCCGGCCCUCAUUGAGAUUGUUCUUGUGCUGUGUGAUGCUGUGAAGCCACCUGAGAUGAGAGUCUGCAUCCUUGUAUACCUCAUGAACAUAAAAGGUUUUGGUUUUAGGGCUGAAAGACAAAAUUUCCCUGCAGACAUCCCGGAGAGGCCACUGAGACAAUGGAGGGGGCAGGAAUGGGGGUCCCUCUCCAAGACUGAAUCAUUAGGGCUGCUGGGGUGGAGGUGAGGCCACUGAAUACCAUCAGACAUUCACUGUGGUUUGAGCAAGGGGGGAUGCUCUCUGGGGUUCCCUCUGUUGAAGGUCAGGAUUCACCCACACUGAGCUGAAAGCCAAAUUCUCAUUCGUUCUGUGGUGAGGAGAGAAGAAACUCCAAGAUUUAUUGGUUUGGGCUUUUACCACCUAUGGGGAAGUGACUGGUCAAAAGAGAUUUAAAUGACUUUUAAAAACAAAGAAGUGUGAAGAAAAACAGAACCAAUACACCAAAACCUAGAGGAUGCAGAAAAUCAGUGUUAGGAGGGGAAUUUAUAGAUGUAAACGUUUAUGCUAGAAAAGAAGAUCUCAAAUCAAUAGCCUAACUUUACAGUGUAAGGAAUUAGAAGAAAAAACAAACUAAAUCUAGAGAUAGAAGAAAGGAAAUGAUAAAGAUUAGAGCUAAGAUAAAUGAAACAAAAUAGAAAAACGUUAGAGAAAGUCAACAAACCCAAACAUGAGUUCUUUAAAAUGACCAAAAAUAAAAUAACUGACAACUGACAAACCUUUGUUAGAUGCGGGGCGGGGGGGGACUCAAAUUAUCAAAAUCAGAAAUCUGGGGACAUAACUAUGGAUCCUACAGAAAUAAAAAAGGAUUAUAAGAGAAUGCUAUGAACAGUUUUGCCAACAAAUUGGAUAACUUGGGUGAAAUGGGUAGAUUUCAAGAAAUACACAAGCAAUCAAGACUAAAUCAUAACAAAACAGAAAAUCUGAACAGACCUCUCACUACUAUGGAGAUUGACUCUGUAAUCAAACCCUCCUGAUGGCCUGGGGGUGCAACUCACUGGUAGAGUCCCUUUCUCUACUAGUGUGGCCCUGAGUUCCAUCCCCAGCACUGCAAAACAAAACAGGCAAAACCCUCCUGACAAAGAAAAGUCCUCAUCCUGAUAAAUUUGAUCACUGGUGAAUUCUACCAAACAUUUAAAGCAGGACUAAAAUCAAUAAUUCUCACACACUUCCAGAAAACUGAAGAGGAGAGAACAUUUCCUGACUCAUUCUACAAGGGCAAUAAAACUGGUACUGAAGUCAGUCGGCACAAGAAAAACUACAGACCAAUAGUCUUUACGAAUAUUGCUAUAAAAUUGUCAACAAAAUACUAGCAAAUCAAAUUCAAUAGUGUCUUGCUGAGACAAAAUAUCCAACAUCCAAAGUUAAAGGAGGAAAGGUUUAUUUAGCUCACAGUUUGUAGAAGUUUAAGUCCAUAAUUGACUGGCUCCAGGGCAGAGUGGCACAUAGCAGAGUGGCAUUGCAGGGCAGAAAUAGUUCAUGGCACCCACACAGUAGCAAAAGCAACAAGGGGACCUUAACAGUGUCUUUCUGCCCCUUUUAUCCAUACCACUGGGAUUAGGGCAGUGCCACACCAAUCAGUGUAUUGGUUUAGUAAUCACACGCCCUUAAUCCUAGCAUCACACACUCUAGAUUCAGUCACCUAUGACCGUAUAAGGGGAUAUCUAGACACAAACCAUAACAAAUAGCACAUUAAAAGGGACAUACAUCAAGACCAGGAGGGAUUUAUGCCCAGUAUGCAAGGAUCUUUCAACAUACAAAAGCAAUCAAUCACAGUGAUGUAAAAAAAUGAACAAAAGGAAAAACUACAGGAACAUCUUGUUGAUUUCAGAAAAAAAUCAUUUGACAAAAUCCAACACCUUUCAUGAUUAAAAAAAACACAAGCAAUCCCAAUUCAAAAAUGAGCAAAGGACUUGAUUAGACAUCUAUCAAAAGCAGAGAUAUAAAUGGCCAGCAAGCACAUGAAAAGAUGAUUAACAUCACAAUGAUUAGUGAGAUGCAAAUUGAAACCAUCUUCUAUAAUGAAAAUGGCCAUUAUGGAAAACAAAAAGCAGAUGUCUGUGAGGAUGUGGUGAAAUCAAAACUUAUAUUUACUGCUGUGGGAAUGUAAAAUGGUGCAAAUAAUACAGAAGAUAAUAUAGUGCUAAAAUAUUAAAAAUAGAAUUACUAUAUGAUCCAGCAAUUUCACGUCUGAAUAUAUACUGUACCUACAAGAAUGGAAAGCAAGAACUGGAUGAGAUGUUUGUGCACCCAUGUUCAAAGCAGCACUAUUGACAAUAGCUACAACAUGAACCAGCAUAAGUGUCUGUGACAGAUGAAUGGAUAAACAAAAUGUAGUUCAUCCAUACAAUGAAUAUCAUUCAGCCUGAAAGGGAAGGAAAUUCUGACACAAGAUACAUCAUGGAUGAACCUUGAGGAUAUUAUGCUAAAUGAAGUAAGCAAGUCACAGACAGCAAACAGUCAAAUUCAUAGAGACAGAAAGUAGAAAUGGUGGUUGUCUGGGGCUGAGGAAAGGGGAAAAUGAGAAAUUUCAUGGGGACAAUGUUUCAAUCUGGGAUGAUGAAAAUGUUCUGGAGAUGGAUAGUGGUGAUGGCUGCACAACAAUGUGAAUGUGCUUAAUACCACUGAAAAAUACCCUGAAAAAUAGUUAAAGUGGUAAAUUUUAUGUUAUAUAUAUUUUAACACAAUAAAAAUAUACGUAUGUAAUACAAAUAAAGAGAUGUGAUUGAUGAGG
Molecule: non-coding RNA, 4745 nt
Organism: Heterocephalus glaber (naked mole-rat)
Lineage: Eukaryota; Metazoa; Chordata; Mammalia; Rodentia; Bathyergidae
Source: RefSeq, a predicted model, not a curated record